Non-coding RNA from Physella acuta, 69 nucleotides. Lineage: Eukaryota; Metazoa; Mollusca; Gastropoda; Physidae. The record is from the annotation of a RefSeq genome assembly.
CAAUAUAAUAGGACAAUUAAUUAAUCCGUAGACCUUCAAAGUCUGAAAUAAUCUGGUGAUUUUAUAUUG